CCGGUGUUGGCGAGGUCGCCGCCACCGCCGUUCGAACCGGCCGGGGUGCUCGGCGCGGUGCUCGGGGCACCGGCCUCGGUCCA
This 83-nucleotide transfer RNA is filed under the name Amycolatopsis sp. NBRC 101858. RNAcentral describes it as "tRNA-Ser". Lineage: Bacteria; Bacillati; Actinomycetota; Actinomycetes; Pseudonocardiales; Pseudonocardiaceae. The record is from RNAcentral.